This 393-nucleotide ribosomal RNA is filed under the name uncultured bacterium. Its description in RNAcentral is "partial 16S ribosomal RNA". It matches the Rfam family "Bacterial small subunit ribosomal RNA", at positions 523 to 918 of the family's 1533-position model. The record is from RNAcentral.
AUACGUAGGUGGCGAGCGUUAUCCGGAUUUACUGGGUGUAAAGGGUGUGUAGGCGGACGUACCAGUCAGAUGUGAAAAGCCACGGCUCAACCGUGGUCCUGCAUUUGAAACUGUACGCCUUGAGAGUGGGAGAGGUAAGCGGAAUUCCCGGUGUAGCGGUGAAAUGCGUAGAGAUCGGGAGGAACACCAGUGGCGAAGGCGGCUUACUGGACCACAACUGACGCUGAGACACGAAAGGGUGGGGAGCAAACAGGAUUAGAUACCCUGGUAGUCCACGCCGUAAACGAUGGAUACUAGGUGUGAGCGUGCAAACGUUCGUGCCGCAGUUAACACAAUAAGUAUUCCACCUGGGGAGUACGGCCGCAAGGUUGAAACUCAAAUGAAUUGACGGGG